UGGAUAACCUGCCGAAAGGCGGGCUAAUACAGCAUGGGACCACAUGGUUUUUGGCCGAGUGGUGAAAAGCGGGGCCUCUGUUCACAAGCUCGCGCUCUGGGGAUGGAUCUGCGGCCCAUCAGCUAGUUGGUGAGGUAAACGGCUACACCAAGGCUACGACGGGUAGCUGGUCUGAGAGGAUGAUCAGCCACACUGGAACUGAGACACGGUCCAGACUCCUACGGGAGGCAGCAGUGGGGAAUCUUGCGCAAUGGGCGAAAGCCUGACGCAGCGACGCCGCGUGGGUGACGAAGGCCUUACGGGUUGUAAAGCCCUGUGGGGAGGAACGAACCGUCCGGGGGGCCCAAUACCCCUCCCGGGGCCUGACGGUACCUCUUUAGCAAGCAUCGGCUAACUCUGUGCCAGCAGCCGCGGUAAGACAGAGGAUGC
RNAcentral lists this ribosomal RNA (429 nucleotides) under uncultured bacterium. RNAcentral describes it as "bacterial SSU rRNA". It matches the Rfam family "Bacterial small subunit ribosomal RNA", at positions 140 to 535 of the family's 1533-position model. The record is from RNAcentral.